Molecule: long non-coding RNA, 1474 nt
Filed under: Cricetulus griseus (Chinese hamster)
Lineage: Eukaryota; Metazoa; Chordata; Mammalia; Rodentia; Cricetidae
Description: lncRNA (ENSCGRG00015037461.1)
Source: RNAcentral
UGAUGGGGAAUGUACUGUGUAUGUGUAUCUUAUUUAUCGUUAAAUAAAAUACUGUUUGGCCAAUGAGACAUCAAGUAGACGGGACUAGGAGUCAAAGAGGAUUCUGGGAAAUGUAGUAGAGAAGUGCUGAUCCAGGCAGGGAGUGACAUAGCAAGGAGACUCAUAUUUAAGCGAAGGAGAAACAGGAAGGGCUCUCUUUUCCCCUCCGCUCCUGCUCCAGCGGCACAAUGUGAUCCACCGGCAAGGAGGGACACCAACAAGGCGUCCGAUAAGAGAAAAUUAAAAGCUGUGGAUUCCUUCCAGACUAAUAUGGUUUGAUCAAGCAAGACCCCCCUGGAGCUUGAGAAAAUACAGCCUUACAGACUACAAAAACAAGGACUUGGUCAGGUUUCUAUGUUAGUGGUAUAAACAUUGGCCCCAAUCAGCAGGAAGCAGUUUAGAAAGAACGACGGCCACAUUCCCAAUUGUUUUCAUUUAAAUGGGGUUAGUUAUAAAUGAUGAUGAGCAUAAUCAAUCUCUUUUUAAAGAAAGAAAAGGGGAAUAGAAUAUAGGAAUGAAUACUUUACAUUGGUAUAGAUUUUCAUUUAUUGAUAUACAACUUUAAGGACAAUUUUGUGAUAUGUAUAUGUCUCCUCUUGUUUAGGUAUUGUCUUUAUACAGAUCUUUUAAUAUAGUUACCUAUAAUAAAAACUUAUAAUUAGGUUAGUUAGGUUUUCUAGAUAUAUAGAGAUGUAUUUGAGAUAGUUAGGUACUCUUCAGACCUUUCAAAGACCUACAGAAAUAUGGCAUUUAAAUGGUUUAGGGUUUUUCUUGGCAGUGAGACACAACUGCUCUUGGCACACCAAUUACGUCAGAAAGGAGGAUGGGCAUUGGAGAAACUGGUUAUGGAGUUUGCUUUCAACAUGGCAAGAUUAGCCAUUUGGGCAAGAAACUGCUCUUGCCUGGACUGUUUGUUGCUGUAUAAAUUGGACAUACAGGACCCACAAGAAAGUAACUGCUAAACUUACAAAAUAAGACAGUACUGAAGGGUUCCUGUUAAAAUGGAGAAGUGUGCUAGGCACACUAUGUCCUAUAGGCUAAAGAUGGAUGCCCCAACGUUAAAGAGGAACUUUGGGUGACUGUCCAGGUAGCGAGAAGUCUCUGUCAGUUCUAGAGUUUAUAUAUUAUCCUUCUGUGGUCUUUGAUAGAGUUGAAGACAGAUAGUUAUGGUUAUAGUUUUCUUCAGUUAUUAUAAAAGAUAAGUUAUCCUUCUUUUUAUUUAGACAGAAAAGAGGAGAUGAUGGGGAAUGUACUGUGUAUGUUUAUCUUAUUGAUUGUUAAAUAAAAUACUGUUUGGCCAAUGAGACAGCAAGUAGAGGACUAGGAGUCAAAGAGGAUUCUGGGAAAUGUAGUAGAGAAGUGCUGAUCCAGGCAGGAGUGACAUAGCAAGGAGACUCAUAUUUAAGCGAAGGAGUAACAGGAAGGGACCCUUUUU